This 75-nucleotide transfer RNA is filed under the name Escherichia coli. RNAcentral describes it as "tRNA-Pro". It matches the Rfam family "tRNA". From Rfam's summary of the family: Transfer RNA (tRNA) molecules are approximately 80 nucleotides in length. Their secondary structure includes four short double-helical elements and three loops (D, anti-codon, and T loops). Lineage: Bacteria; Pseudomonadati; Pseudomonadota; Gammaproteobacteria; Enterobacterales; Enterobacteriaceae. RNAcentral also lists the same sequence under 1 other name. The record is from RNAcentral.
GCACGUAGCGCAGCCUGGUAGCGCACCGUCAUGGGGUGUCGGGGGUCGGAGGUUCAAAUCCUCUCGUGCCGACCA